This 66-nucleotide transfer RNA is filed under the name Gryon sp. RNAcentral's name for it is "tRNA-Asp". Lineage: Eukaryota; Metazoa; Arthropoda; Insecta; Hymenoptera; Scelionidae. The record is from RNAcentral.
UUAGAAUUAUUUUAAUAUAAAAUUUAAAUUUGUCAAAUUUAAAAUAAAAUUUCUUUUUAUUCUUAU